CAUAGAGACAGCUAAGCAGAAGGUGGAGAGGGACAAUCAGCUUCGGAAGGCGGGAGUGAAAGUUUUGAAGAAACAGAAGAUAAUAAUUGAGCUUCAAAAGAAGUUCAAGCAGUUGCUGAACCUCAACCAAAGUCUGCCAGAGUGUGUUCGCCUGAGUCAUGAGGUACACAUACUGCCGAAAAAGUAACGCGCCUGAAAGCAUCAUUUGCAAUGUACUCGAAUAAAUCAGAUUGCGUGUCACUACCCUGGUAAAGAUAUAUAUGCAGCGAGACACCACAAAUAGUACUAGCAGAUGAAAAAGAGGCAGUAACCAGUACAUCAAGAGGAUGUGUUUCAAACCAGUGACGGCAGGAUACUAUUUGUGGGAAGACCGAAUUAGAUGUAUAUAUAUAUAUACUGUAUAUAUAUAUAUAUAUAUAAAACCUCACCUUCAGCAGCAAAUGCAGUCAAUCCUAUCAACUUCCUCUAUUAACUGACUACAUGUGAUCAAAAAUACAAACAAAACAAACAAAAAUCUUUUAAGACCCUAUAUUCUGUGCAUGCUUGUGUGUGUGUGUGUGUGUGUGUGUGUGUGUGUGUGUGUGUGAGACCAGGCUUUGCACCAUGAUCAACAUUUCAGUGAGCAGGCAGAGAGAGUGAUGGCUCAGCGUGUGGAAGAAGUCAAAGAGCAAAUGAGCUGGGAGUUUGAGCACUGCAGCCUUGGACUCAAGAAACUUCAGGACCGGUACUCAGCUCUCUCGCACACACACACACACACACACACACAAUCAUAUAGACACACAAUGGAAUUUCCCUUUAUCAUAGAAGGAUUUUUUUCCCAGCUUCAGAGACUCUCUCUCCCCUGUGGUCACUGUCGGGGCUAUCUGCACCAAUCGCAAAAUCUUCACCUUCUGUAUGCCAGAGCUUGUUGAUCCUUCACUACGACUCAGAGCAAACAGCAGUGCAGCUCCACCGGAUGAAGAUGAGGAUGCUGAUGCUGCUGCAGCAGCAGAAUAUGGAAAGCCCAAAACGGAGCGGCCUAAGGACAGAGCUGAAUUGGAAGAUAUUGUGCUGCAUCCUCGGGUUGCUCGUCCAGCAGGCAUAAAAUUGGCUGACAGGCAGGUGGAGAGGCUACAAAAGGCUGCAGAGAAAGCUGAGCAAGCUCAAGCUAAGAUAGAAAAGAGGAGACAGGAAUGGGCCCAGCUGUGAGUGUUGUGUUGCACAUCAUUAUUUCUGGAGUCAUGUGGUUUCUUUAGUGGCUAUAUUCUUUCAUGCAUGUUUGAGUCCAUUUAUAAUGCUGUUGCCUAUGAGGAGGGGCUACAAUGAACUGUUAACAUAAUCUUUGACCGUUGUGACACUGAUGUUGAUACAUUG
RNAcentral lists this long non-coding RNA (1353 nucleotides) under Takifugu rubripes (torafugu). RNAcentral describes it as "lncRNA (ENSTRUG00000031576.1)". The record is from RNAcentral. Lineage: Eukaryota; Metazoa; Chordata; Actinopteri; Tetraodontiformes; Tetraodontidae.